RNAcentral lists this unclassified non-coding RNA (373 nucleotides) under Actinia tenebrosa (Australian red waratah sea anemone). RNAcentral's name for it is "perlucin-like protein, transcript variant X1". The record is from RNAcentral. Lineage: Eukaryota; Metazoa; Cnidaria; Anthozoa; Actiniaria; Actiniidae.
UUCGUUUAACUCAUAUUAUAGUAUAUGCAAGGCAAGCAAGUGAUUAUCAUGCAAACGCAGUGGUCGACAGUCAUCAUGUCCAAACUACCUUUAUUCUUGGCUUUUUUGUUAGUCAGUUUUACGACUUUCCUUCCCUCAGCCAACGCAGCUAGAUAUCUGUCCUGUCCAAAUGGAUGGCUAACAUACGAAGGCUCAAGGUCCUGUUAUCGUCUUGGAGGAACAUCAAAGAAGUUGAUUGAGGCACGAAAAGCAUGUUUUGCAAUGGGAGGGGAUCUUGUGAAAAUCAACUCUGCACAAGAGAACAACUAUGUGGCGCUUCUUGCACGUACAAUUCCGAAAAACAAAAGCUACCUUUGGAUAGGACUCGUUGCAG